UACGUAGGGCGCAAGCGUGUCCGGAAUUAUUGGGCGUAAAGAGCUCGUAGGCGGCCUGUUACGUCUGCUGUGAAAUCCCCGGGGCUUAACCCCGGGCGUGGCAGUGGAUACGGGCAGGCUGGAGGCAGGCAGGGGAGAACGGAAUUCCCGGGUGUAGCGGUGAAAUGCGCAGAUAUCGGGAGGAACACCGGUGGCGAAGGCGGUUCUCUGGGCCUGUACU
RNAcentral lists this ribosomal RNA (220 nucleotides) under uncultured bacterium. RNAcentral's name for it is "partial 16S ribosomal RNA". It matches the Rfam family "Bacterial small subunit ribosomal RNA", at positions 524 to 741 of the family's 1533-position model. The record is from RNAcentral.